GUGUGUGUGUGUGUGUGUGUGUGUGUGUGUGUGUGUGUGUGUGUGUGUGUGUGUGUGUGUGUGUGUUUCCAUUGCCUUUUUCUGCUGUGCCGCAGGCACACAUAGUGUAGAGGAUUGGUGAAGAUACUGAUGGGGAUGCACAGCUGCACGGAGGAAGCAGAAGCCGGUUCUCACUCUUCAGCUCCCCAUCCCAACAACGGGACUACUGCCAUCCUCCCUCUCCGAAGAUGGGGAGGGGGGGGGGGUCGCCAUAUAGGAGCUCAGAAACAUGGAGUGGAUCCGAGGAGGGAGAGAGGAAUCUUUUCACUCCUGGUGCUGGAUGUCAUGCUCUGCUAUGCGUAGUGAUAGGAAGAGAGUGAGAUUACUCCAUACCCUGUAAGGCACACAAUCAACAAGGAUGAAGAGAAGUAGGUAGCCAAGGUGUAAGGGACAGGGUGGCUGAAGGGAGGCGUUCCUCAGACGGAGCAGAGCAGAACGCUCUCUCCUCCUCUCCCCUUGUCAUUAGUAUGCAGUGGCUGUUCCCCAGGCGACAGGGCCACUGGGUUCGGGCUGAGCUUACGGCAAGAGGAACGUCAGCGACACAGAGGAGAGGAGGACAGCAGGGAGCAGUGCGGCCAGGCUGCAGAUAUCAUCCAUCUCCCUGUCACUGGCCCAGGGGCUGCUGGGAAGGCAGCAGACAGCUCCUCGGCUCUGACGAUGGGAGCUGCAUCCUAAUUCUCCAACUCUGAUCGCUCGGAACACUCGCUCCUCCCCCGCCACCCAGAGUGAUACAUCUGGGAACAAAGCACAGAGCUUAGCCAGUCCACCAGAGCCUGCUGCUAGCAUCAUCUCCAUUACUCCUAAUAUUGAACAAUUUCUCACAGAUCACACCCUCACUGGGCAUUGUGUUGUUAUUGAGGUGAAUGAUAAGAGUUUGAAAACCCUAGAUUGUAGAAGAAUCUCAGUAAGAAUAUAAAGUCAUGGUCAUAAACAUCCUUUAGAUAUACAGUAUCUCAAGCAUCAUUACAUUUUAGUCAUUUAGCAGAUGCUCUUAUCCAGAGCAACUUACAGUAGUGAAUGCAUACAUUUCAUACACUUUUUCUCCGUACUGGUCCCCCAUGGGAAUCAAACCCACAACCCUGCAAACACCAUGCUCUACCAACUGAGCUACACAGGACUUCCACUUGUUGAUAUCAUGCGUACUCAGAAUAACCUUUUUAUACACAGUUCUACAGUAAAUUUGACUUGGUAAAGUAUUCUUAUACUACAUACAAAACAAUAAAGACCUUGUAAGUAUUACAAGACACAAAGGCAUUCAUAUCUUCACAUUUAUAGGCUACAUGCUUCAAUGUGUCAUGAACACAUCACCUAGUGAGGUAACAAAUUAUUCUUCACGAGUGAUCAAAUCAUUCAUGAAUAACAGGAAAUGAAUAUCUCUAAAGUUGAUUGUACAGAAUGAACUGUUAAAGGGCAAUUCAGCCACUGUUCAACCUCAUAUUCAUUAUCUCUAGCACCAUGCCAACGUCUACAUCCCAGCCAACAUUUCCAUGUGGUGCCCAUAUGGGUUAAUGGAGGGCUGUCCCAUGGGCCCUAUGAGGGAUACCCAACAGGGACCCACAAAGUUUUGUCCUCAACAUCCAUAUUGGCCCCACAUGUGGUUGCCAUGUUGGAAUUGAUGUGGGUUAAUGUUGGGCUUCAUAAAGUUGCCCUAGUGGUUUACCCCAAUGUGUUAAAAUCUGGGUAAAGGAUGGGUGUGUAGUGAGACCUAUAUUGGCAAUAAGUAGGCUGUGCAUGUGAUUUUUAAUUGGGCUGCCCCAAUGUAGAUACAGCUAACCAACUAGAUUCAAUGUUAGCUAGCUAGCUAACAUUGAACCCAGCUGUUUAGCUUUAGCUACAUGCAGAUUCAUACUACAGCAUUGACAAUCAGUUUGUAUUCGCGGUAGUAGUAUGAGUUGGGAUUAUGCCAGUUCAGUGUUUAGCUAGCAAACUAUAUGUCUAAACAAAAGACUCCACUUCGCCAGAUGAUUACAUGACCCAUCAAGUUAGCCAGGUGGGUCUGGGGGAGAUUAUGGCCAUUAAUUGUAUUUCCUGAACAUGUGUACAUGUCUAGACAAUAGCGACCCAUCCACUUAGAUAGAUGUGGCUGGGGGAUUGUUAUAGAAUUUAUUUCACAUUACCCAUUAAUUUAGACAAGUGUGUGUGGGAAAGCAUCAUCUAAUAAUGAUAAAAUAUUUAUAAAAUAUUUUUAUCUGGACACUUUCUGUUUUUGCUGCUAUGCACAUAUGCAAGUAACCAUUUCACUGUACCGUUUACACCUUCUGUAUCCUGUGCAUGUGACAAAUAAACGUUUUAAUUUUAUUUUAUUUGAUAUAGUGCGUGUUUACCCCAGACACAGAUCACACACGUAAUGUUAGCUAGCGAGCCAGCAAGCUAACAAUUGCUUGCUAGUGAAGAGUUCGCUUUAACUUGCAAUGAAAAUUAUUUUCGGACAAAAUUUGAAACUUAUAAUAUCUGAAAAUGUAACUAGACUCUUACGUCUAUACAUGGAUGAAUGUUUCAUGGCAGACUGGAACCAUUUAACUCUGUUUUGUUUGUAGCUACAUCUUGUUUGGCCAGCGCUGUGUCAAGUCACGCCGGUUCACACUGACCGUGGCGUAUGCAGAAAGUAGCCCAUCAAAACAUUUUUGUCAACUGAUCUGUCGAUAGUGCCUGCUAAAUUCAGGGCAUCAAUGUUGUUAAGAAAAGUUGUAAAACUUUUGUAGUUCUCGAUGGCUAACGUUAUAACUUUAAAAAAAAGCAGCGGUAGGAAGGAUUAUCAAUACAUACUGAGCAGCUCACGUUAUAAACAGAAGCAUACUACAUGGCAGACUAAUCCAAACUCAUCUCCCUGCAUGUCCAGCCCAUCCAUUAUCUCAGCCAAUCAUGGCUAGCGGGAAGGUUCCUGCUUUUUUCUGUGGCUAAAUCAACUAGGCUCGUAAUUUAACAAUUUAAUUCAUAUUUACAGAUGGGGGCGGGUAUUUUCCUGGAUCCCACGUCACCAUAAACCUCCUAGUGUUUGAAAAUCACAGUUUUUAAAAUGUUUAAACUUUUGAUUAUGUCAUCAGGUAGAACUUCUAAACUUUAUAUUUUUUCUGCAAAAGAUAGAAACGUGCCGUUUUCACAUAUGUAGACAUGGUAUUGUGCUGGAGAUAAUGACAAUUAGGUUGAAAAGUGGUGGACUUGCCCUUUAAAGUUCUGUUUUAUAAUCUACCUUACAAAGUAUGUAUGUAACAAUAAUGAAGUUGUACAGUAUUACCAGCCAGUAAAUAACAAAUAACUCUUAUUCUUCAGGCUGUUGAGGCGCUCCACUGAAGAUGGUGGGCUCUUUCAUUCCUUUGAAUCGUGGUGGGAGAGAGAGAGCUCACAGGGGGCUUCUGCCGCCUGUUUUCCCGAAAUGUUGUUCUGAACUCAAAAGACCCUCUUGGACUAGCAGGCUGGGGAAUCAAAUCCUGCUCCACACAAAGGAGACUGAUUUCUGAUGAGUAAAGCAAACACCGUGCUUGUACAUUUUAUCAGAAUCUGCUGACAGUUCUCUUGAAGUUUUGGCCCCAAGGGAUCUCACAUAAAAAAACAACAAGACAUCAUCUGCACAUGGCAAAACACAAGCUUCUCACUGUUACAAAUGAAGCUAAAAAGAAAAACUCAGCCAAAGCAAAUAACUGUGAGAGGGAUAAGAUCAGUGUGUGUGUGUGUGUGUGUCUGUGUGCGUGUGCGUGUGCGUGUGUGUGUGUGCAUGCUCACAAGCAAGCAGUUUGAAAGUACAGUACAUUAACACUACCAACACCUGGUCUAUUCAUAGACCCCAACUUUACCUUUGACUUUGCAUACCAUAAUUCAAUGGAGUUGAAGUUGUGGACAAUUUAAGUUGAAACAACAUUUUAAGCCCACGGGCCUCCUGCAUCCCACACCUUUGGUUGCUGAGAUCAUCAACCAUAAACAAGUAACCUUUAAAUGAUCUAAAAACACACAACUUAAGAAAUAAAGGAGGCUUUAUCAAACCAAAUAUGCUCUAUCGUGUACCUCAUCUGCACUAAAGCCAUAGACACAGAGCCUUUCGAUUCAUCUUUAUUUCACAAAAAAAGAAAAAAACUGCAAAUCAGCUCACAUAACAAUGAUGGUUAACAUGCAUUUAGCUGAUCUAGGGGGUAAUCAUUAGUCCAACAAGUUGUAAAAAGAGAUUCUAUUGGACAAAUUCAGGUAUGUUUAUCCCUGUUUCGUUCUGUUUGCUUCCGUUGAAGAAACGUUUUUCAACAGAAUUAACGGAAUGAAUAGUUUCAAGAGUUUCAAGUUCCUCGGUGUCCACAU
Non-coding RNA from Salmo salar (Atlantic salmon), 4323 nucleotides. The record is from RefSeq and is a predicted model, not a curated record. NCBI's taxonomy places the organism in Eukaryota, Metazoa, Chordata, Actinopteri, Salmoniformes, Salmonidae.